CUGCUCGAGUUCCAAUUUUCCAUCUUUUAUUUUG
This 34-nucleotide small RNA is filed under the name Arabidopsis thaliana (thale cress). RNAcentral describes it as "ATSL234550". Lineage: Eukaryota; Viridiplantae; Streptophyta; Magnoliopsida; Brassicales; Brassicaceae. The record is from RNAcentral.